GUGGGGAAUAUUGCGCAAUGGGCGAAAGCCUGACGCAGCGACGCCGCGUGGGGGAUGAAGGCCUUCGGGUUGUAAACCCCUUUCAGCAGGGACGAAGCGAGAGUGACGGUACCUGCAGAAGAAGCGCCGGCUAACUACGUGCCAGCAGCCGCGGUAACACGUAGGGCGCAAGCGUUGUCCGGAAUUAUUGGGCGUAAAGAGCUCGUAGGCGGUCUGCUACGUCCGCUGUGAAAACCAGGGGCUUAACCCUUGGCUGGCAGUGGAUACGGGCAGACUAGAGGUAGGUAGGGGAGAAUGGAAUUCCCGGUGUAGCGGUGAAAUGCGCAGAUAUCGGGAGGAACACCGGUGGCGAAGGCGGUUCUCUGGGCCUUACCUGACGCUGAGGAGCGAAAGCGUGGGGAGCGAACAGGAUUAGAUACCCUUGUAGUCC
This 430-nucleotide ribosomal RNA is filed under the name uncultured bacterium. RNAcentral describes it as "bacterial SSU rRNA". It matches the Rfam family "Bacterial small subunit ribosomal RNA", at positions 354 to 796 of the family's 1533-position model. The record is from RNAcentral.